RNAcentral lists this long non-coding RNA (4712 nucleotides) under Homo sapiens (human). Its description in RNAcentral is "ADAPT42". Lineage: Eukaryota; Metazoa; Chordata; Mammalia; Primates; Hominidae. The record is from RNAcentral.
UUUGAAUGAUGUUUAUCGAAAGUCCCAAUUUGAAUCUCUUUUGCGUUCAGCCUAGCAUUGAGGAAUACAUGGCUAUAGCUGGCAUUCUUGUAGGUUGGCUGUUCAAAGGCCUUGUUUAGAUGAAAACCAAGAAACACAUAUCCUACAAGAAGAAAAAGUAAAAGUGCACCGUCUGUUUCAAAAGCAGUAGUUUCCUGCUAGAAGGCAAAUUUGAGUACAACUUGGUAUUGGUCACUCAAGUUGUUCUCCAGUUGGCCCUUACAAAUUCAUGCCUUGAUUCUUGGGCAAAAAGGCUAAUAAUAAAAGAGUAGAUGAAAACUAAAAAUGCCUCUUCUUUCAAACCUGCACAAAAUAUUGAGAGCAUGGAGCAUCAGAAAUGUUAGUGUCAGCAGUUAUAAAGGCAAGGAGGGGUGGUACCAUUGUACUGGCAAGCAUGAGAAAUGGUGCCAGAAGUACAGACAGCUAUGCAGGACCUAGAAUAUUCAGAAGGCAGGGAACAAGAGACAGGCUGCUUUGAGACAGGCCCUGGAUGACGGCCAACACUGGCAACAAAGCCUUCUGUGUGCUUUGGCUUUACAGUUCAAAUUUCUUUUUUGAAGAAUAGAGUGAUGGUCAUCAGAAUUAGCUGAGGCAGAAGAGGAGGCAAAAUGGUAAUCUGGAAGGUUGGUUUAUGGCAAAUUCAUUAGGCACUCCUUGGGAAAUCUCAACUGUGUGGUAGAAUUUGAAGAAAACUAAUAUUCACUGGUAAAGUCUCUUUCAUGUGCGUCUGUGUGAAGAGACCACCAAACAGGCUUUGUGUGAGCAACAUGGCUGUUUAUUUCACCUGGGUGCAGGUGGGCUGAGGCCGAAGAGAGUCAGCAAAGGGAGACAAGGGUGGGGCCAUUUUAUAGGAUUUGGGUAAGUAAAGGAAAAUUACAGUCAAAGGGGGUUUGUUCUCUGGCAGGUAGGAGUGGGUUGUGAUUCUUUAGUUACUUCAGGCCCUCUGGGCGUAUAUGUGCAGGUCACAGGGGAUGUGAUGGCUUGGCUUGGGCUCAGAGGCCUGACAUUCCUGCCUUCUUAAUAAGAAAAAUAAAACAAAAUAGUGUUGAAGUGUUGGGGCGGCGAAAAUUUUUGGGGGGUGGUAUGGAGAGAGAGUGGACGAUGUUCCUCAGGCCUGCUUCAAGAGGGAUUAGGGGCGGCGUGGGAACCUAGAGUGGGAGAGAUUAAGCUGAAAGGAGAUCUUGUGGUAAGGGGUGAUAUUGUGGGGUUGUUAGAAGAAACAUUUGUUGUAUAGAAUGAUUGGUGAUGGCCUGGAUAUGGUUUUGUAUGAACUGAAAAACUAAAUGGAAUAAGAAGGAGAAAAACAGGUAUAAAAGGUCUAAGAAUUGGGAGGACCUAGGACAUCUGAUUAGAGAGUGCCUAAGGAGAUUCAGCAUAGUCCUGCCAGCAAAGAUUAUUUAUUUACUUCAAGAGUUAAGAGUGGCGGUUUGGGGAUAGCACGAGGAGAUAUCAGCUGUGAUGGCUUGGAUAAACAGUGUAAACUGGCAGUGUAAAGAAGAGCAGGGCAUGUAUGAGUAGUUGAGAAUGGAGAAUAGGAGUAUGACUAGACAGAAAACAGUAGGGAUGACAAGCUUUUAUUGGGGCACAGUCUAAGUUGGUCCGGUGUCUGGAAUGAGACUGGGGCCUAAUAAAAAGGAGCAUCUAUACAGGAGCUUAAAUGGGCUGUACCUUGUAGCAUUCCGAGGACAGGCCUGAAUUCUGAGAAGGGAAAGUGAUAAAAGUAUUGUCCAGUCCUUUUUGAUGGCUGAGCUUGGUGAGGUGUGUUUUUAAAAGACCUUCAGUCCAUUCUACCUUUCUUGAAGAUGGAGGACUGUAAGGGAUAUAAAGGUUUCACUGAAUACUAAGAGCCUGAAAAACUGCUUGGCUGAUUUGACUAAUAAAGGCUCAUCUGUUAUCAGACUGUAUUGAGGUGGGAAGGCUAAACUGAGGAAUUAUGUCUGACAGAAUGGAAGAAAUGACUGCGGAGGCCUUCUCAGACCCUGUAGGAAAGGCCUUUACUUAUUCAGUGAAAGUGUCUAUUUAGACUAAGAGGUAUUUUAGUUUCCUGACUCAGGCAUGUUGAGUAAAGCUAGUUUGCCAGUCCUGGGUGGGGGCAAAUCCUCGAGCUUGAUGUGUAGGUUUGCUGGUAUGUGGCGACUAGGCCUGGUGGAACUGCCAUCAAUAAAUCAAGCGUGAUCAGGGUGAGGAACAGGAAAGAAGGAAAUUUGGGGAAAUGGGGUUAAUGUCAGGUGGAUCAGAGAGAUACAGUCAUGGGGGUCAGGUGUGGUAUCAGGAAUAAUGUGGGAGGCCGGAUUCAAGUAUGGGCCAGGAACAAUGAUAAUUGUGGGAGACUCAACAGAGUGAGUAUAGCUGAAGGAGCUGGGAAGCAGAAAGUAUAUGCGUCAGGUAUGAGGAAGAAAAUAGAUUUUGGAAGUUAUGAGAACUGUAGAGAGUGAGUUGAGCAUAGUUUGUGAUUUUGAGGGCCUCUAAAAGUAUUAAUGCAGUGGCAGCUGCCGCACGCAGACAUACGGGCUAGGCUAAAACAGUAAGGUCAAGUUGUUUGGACAGAAGGCUACAGGGUGUGGUCCUGGCUCUUGUGUAAGAAUUCUGACCACCCUAACCAUGCCUAGGGAAUUGUAAGGAGAGUUUAUAGGCUUUAAAAGGCCAUGCUGUAGCAGGCGAGUGAUAACAGGCUUUAAUCUUUUUAAAGUGUGCUGCGGGAUGGGAUUUUGGCAUUGAGUGGGGUAAGGGUGAUUAGGUUUUAAUGAGAUGGUAAGGGGUGCGUGAUCGGUCGCCAAGGAGGGAGUAGAGGUAUCUUAUACUUGUGGGUUAAGGUAGGGGGAUACAAGAGGAGGACGCAAAGGAGGCUUUGGAUUGGGAAGAAGGGCGGCAAUGAGAUAUAGCUGUAGUCCAGGAUAGUCAGGGAAGCAGAUAAUUUAGUUAAAGUGUCUCAGCCUAAUAAGGGAACUGGGCAGGUGGGGAUAACUACACUGUGAGAGUUACUGGAAGCUCGGCGUCCGUGAUGGUCUAGGGGGCUUCUGAGGCGAUCGGGCAGUGUCAGUCUUCAGCUGCUAAGCCGAGAAGAUCUGGGAAGGAGUCAGUCAGACAGCCUUGGGCCAGAGUUCCAGGGGAUCUGGGAGUGGCUGCCAGGUGAGUUGAACAGUCGAUUUUCAGUGGGGUCCCACACAGAUGGGACGUGGCUUAGGAGGAAUCCCGGGCUGUGGGCAUUCCUUGGCCCAGUGGCCAGAUUUCCGGCACGUGUAGCAAGCUCCUGUUGGAGGAGGUUCUGGAGGAACGCCUGGCCGCUGUGGUUCAGGCGUUUGGAAGUUCUUGGAGUUUUAUUUAAUGUCGGGAGCAGAUUGGGUAAUGUAUUUUGAGAAUAAGACGGCCUUUUGACCUUUUAGUGUCUAGGGCUGUAAAGUGUCUCAGAGUUGCUGCCAAACAAGUCAUGAACUGGGCUGGAUUUUUAUAUUUGAUGAAAAAGAGCCUAAACGCUAUCUGAUUUGGGACAAAGAAAAAGGAGCAUUAACCUUGACUAUGCCUUUAGCUCCAGCCACCUUUUCAAGAGUAAAUUGCUGGGCAGGUGGGGGAGGGCUAGUCACGGAAUGAAACUGUAAGCCGGACCAGGUGUGAGGAGGGGAGGUGAUAAAAAGAUUAUAGGGUGGAGGAGCAGAGGCUGAGGAAGAAUUGGGACCUAGCUCGGCCUGGCGAGGAACAACCUGGGGAGGAAGGGAGAGGUCAGAUGGGUCUGUAGAAAAGGAAGAUUAGAAAGACUCAGCGACGCUUGGGGUUGGUACUGAGGGGACAGGUGGGAGGGAAAGAAGGAAGAUUUGGGACGAGUUGCACUGGUCACAGAGACUAGGAAGGGACUAAUGUGGAAAAGAAUGCCUGGACGUCAGGCACCUCAGACCGUUUGCCUAUUUUACAACAAGAAUUAUUUAGAAGAAGGAGGAAUGGAAGGUGGAAGCUUACCCAUAGUGAAGGAGGCAAGCCCAGAGAAAAGAGUAGAGACACGGAGAAGUGUUGGGGGGUUCUUGUCCUCCAGAAAAGCGGAGAAGGGGUUGGGGCACGGAAAUAAGGGAUUGGGGCACAGAGAUAAGAGGUCAGGGUGUGGAAAUAAGGGAUUGGGGCACAGAGAUAAGAGGUUGGGGUGCGGAAAUAAGCGAAUGCGGGCUUCUUGCCCCCUAGGAAAGCGGGACUUGCCGCCAAGGGUGAAGGAGAAGGGGUUGAGGGGUACUUGCCCCUGCCCCAGGAAAGCGGGACUUGCCGCUAAGAGUGAAGGGGAAGUGGUUGAGGGGUACUUUCCCCUGCCCCAGGAAAGCGAGACUUGCCACUAAGGGUGAAGGCCGUGACUGGCGCCGGAGUUUUGGGUUCAUGGAUAAAACAUGUCUCUUUUGUCUCUACCAGAAAAUGAAAGGAAUUGAAAUUAAGAGAAGGGAGAGAUUGAAGUGUGGCGCCAAGAUUGAAAGGAGAAAGAGGUUAAGGGAUAGUGAGGGAGGUUGGAGAAGAGAGUAAAAAGAGGCCGCUUACCAGAUUUGAAAUUGGUGAGAUGUUUCUUGAGCUGGUCGGUCUGAGGACCUGAGGUCGUAGGUGGAUGUUUCUCACGGAGCAAAGAGCAGGAGGACAGGGGAUUGAUCUCCUAAGGGAGGUCCCCCGAUCCAAGUCACGGCACCAAAUUUCAUGUGCGUCCGUGU